Molecule: long non-coding RNA, 1476 nt
Organism: Hirundo rustica (Barn swallow)
Lineage: Eukaryota; Metazoa; Chordata; Aves; Passeriformes; Hirundinidae
Exons: 3
Source: RefSeq, a predicted model, not a curated record
CCGGGGGCUCCCCACGGGACAUUGCGGUGCUGCAGCGUGUCCGGAGAAGGGCAACAAAGCUGGAAAAGGGCCUGGAGCACAAGUCCUCAGCUGCUACUGUGAUCAUGACUGCAGGCAAAGCUUGCCUGACAUCACAUCAAGGAAACAAGUUCCCUUUACUUCAAAAAGCCAAGAUUUCUCUGUAAUGCUGAAGGAGCAUUACUCUAACCUCCCUGCUCACUAGUCCCAGAACUGCUUCCACCGGGGACCAUCACUCAGCAAUGCAGCUUCCAGCAGGGACCAGCACUAGCCAUAGCUAACAAGCACUAGCACAGUGAUCAUUGAAGUUCUCACUCCAGCUGGGAGGACAGCCAGGCACCUUCAAGAACAAGGGAAUGAUUGACAAUAUUAGGCAGAAAAUUGUCUACCAGAUGCUGCUCAAAAGGAGAGGUGGCAACCUUCCGACCCCCUUCUCAGUACGCGAAAUCAUCGCUUCUGUGACACGCCUCUGCCCCACUUGUCAGCUGAGUGGGGAGCACAGGGUCACUUCUGCGUCUGGCUGUUGUGCAGUAAAAUGCCACCCUGCAGACAAGGCUGUGCCUUCUGCCUGAAGGAGGUCUCAGUGCCAGCCAUGCUUUGGAAUGAAGUGGAAAAAUUCACCAGACAUUACACAUUACUUUUCAGUUACCGCUCUGAAAUACUGACUAGGUCUGAAUAACCUUACUGGUACAGAAACAAAAGGAAUUCCUUGGACUGUGAGAGAAUAAACUCCAACCAGACCUGCAUGGCUUUUUAAAAAACCCUCCCCAGAGAUCUUCCCGUUGCCAUUAGUGCUUUAACACAAUUUACACAAUUUAUGUCUCUUAAAAGGUUUUGUUCCCUCCCUGAAAAAAGAGGUCAGCUCACUAGAGUUUCAUGCUAGUGCUGAUACAAUGACCAUGGUUCCCCUUUUUACAAAUUAACUAGAAGGAGAAAAACAAAGGGAUGAACUUGAAAAAAGUAAGACUAACGUUUUCCUACUUAACUAGCUGACUCAACAUGAAACAAACAAACAAAAAAACCCACACCCAAAAAACCCCCCCAAAACCCCACAGAAAUAGAAAACACUUUUUUUUCAACAAAAGCAGUGCAGGACAAAAAAACGCAAAGAGUCUACUCUGAGGGCAGACACACAGGACACAUAGGCCUCUGAAAUGCAAAUGUUCGAGUACAAAAUAUAAAUAACCAUAUAUGCAUAUUUGGGGUUUCUUUACACACACACACACAGAAAAAGCUGAGGGAGUUUCUAUGUUGUUUGUGCUAAUUCACGUAGGGUAACAGCAAUGUGUGUGAAUAACAAUCCCUGAAAUGACACCAAAAUUAAAGGGAGGAUAUAGGAAAUGAAAGAUGAUAAUUGAAAUGCUAUUUUAAGCAAGUGUAUUCAUUAAUUGUCUUAAUUCAGGUGGAACUUCACCUGCAAAUUAGAUUAAAUAUAUACUAAGAAAACUGCAAGACUGG